Molecule: ribosomal RNA, 220 nt
Filed under: uncultured bacterium
Lineage: Bacteria
Description: partial 16S ribosomal RNA
Rfam family: Bacterial small subunit ribosomal RNA
Source: RNAcentral
UACGUAGGGGGCAAGCGUUGUCCGGAUUUAUUGGGCGUAAAGAGCGUGUAGGCGGUCCGGUAAGUCCGCUGUGAAAGUCGGGGGCUCAACCCUCGAAUGCCGGUGGAUACUGUCGGGCUAGAGUGCGGAAGAGGCGAGUGGAAUUCCUGGUGUAGCGGUGGAAUGCGCAGAUAUCAGGAGGAACACCGAUGGCGAAGGCAGAUCUCUGGGCCGUAACUGA